Long non-coding RNA from Astyanax mexicanus (Mexican tetra), 997 nucleotides. RefSeq lists it as uncharacterized. The record is from RefSeq and is a predicted model, not a curated record. The transcript is spliced from 4 exons. NCBI's taxonomy places the organism in Eukaryota, Metazoa, Chordata, Actinopteri, Characiformes, Acestrorhamphidae.
CAGUCCUUAAGUGUCCUAAAGUCUGUGAGAAGAUGAAACAGAGGAAAAGAGUGGAUGGAAAGAUCUUCUGGCCUGUGUACGACUUUACGGCGUGUAGAACAGGCAUGCACUGGCUAUCUGAGGAGAGGUUCCCAGCACUUCACUCAGAUAGCUUGUUGUCUCCUAGUUCAUAUGCACUGGUCCCAGAACAGCAGAAAAGCAGUGAAGCUUCUCUGCCCCUCAGGGUCACGUUCUCCUCACAGCUCUCAUUGGUGAUGAAAACACUCUGACAUUCCUGAUUCCUGGAAAAGUAAAAACAACCUCCAAAGCCAUGUGCCAUUGUGACAUUUAAGAAUAAGAGUGUGAAGGUGUGGUUAUCUCCAAUCACACCCUUCACAGCCUCCCUAGAAAGGUCCAUGCAGGGAAAGGAAAGUCAGGCAGAAAGUCGAACCUCAGAUACAGGAGGAACAACUAGAAGUCGUGCACUCCAAAAAUCUGGCAUUUAUGGAAGAGUGGCAAGAACAAAAGCUUGAUAUUUUUACAAAAAUAGGUAAAAUAGUUCAAAGCUCCAAUGUUGUUGUAUUUAACCUAGAAUUCUUGCACUUCAACAGGCAGCACUCUUUCAACUACUACAAGAGAAGCCACAGAAAGCACCCACACUUCCCCAAGGAUCAGCACAGAAGACAAGGUUCAAGGCAGCACUCUUUCAGCUACUACAAGUGAAGCCCCAGAAGGCACCCACACUUCCCCAAAGAUCAGCACAGAAGACAAGGUUCAAGGCAGCACUCUUCCAACUGCUACAAGUGAAGCACUAGAAGGCACUCACUCUUCCCCAAGGAUCAGCACAGAAGACAAGGUUCCAGCUUCCCUCCAUGUCAGUGAGGACCGUAUGAACUGGGAGAACGCUUUUUACUACUGUAAGAAAGAUAACAGGGCUGGUCUGCUGCACAUUCAUACUGAGUCUGACCACAAUGAGGUGAAGAACGAGCUCAGGAGGAGGGGUAUCUCUGGGACUUUG